RNAcentral lists this long non-coding RNA (572 nucleotides) under Piliocolobus tephrosceles (Ugandan red Colobus). Its description in RNAcentral is "lncRNA (ENSPTEG00000004761.1)". Lineage: Eukaryota; Metazoa; Chordata; Mammalia; Primates; Cercopithecidae. The record is from RNAcentral.
AGUCAGCCAGCUGGGCAGCAGGGCUAACAGGGCUGGGGGGGGAGGGGGGGGGUGUGCGGGGCGAGUCACCCUGUGUGUAAAGGGGAAGGCGUGAGAGGCUGUGGAGGGGCGAGAAGCGCUGUUUUAACAUUGAGGCAGCAGAAAAGUUAUCCUGAUGCCGGGAAGUGCUUUUUCUAAGGACGAGACUUCGAAAGGCGGAGACUAUGUUGGCGGUUAUCCCCUCCAGGAUGAAAGGACUGAGGCAUGUUGGUGCAGUGAUGUGGGCAAGUGUGGGUGAGUUCGGCACAUCCCCCACCUGAGAGAACACAACUGGAAGGAUCUCUGUGGUCUUAAUGGAGGCUUGCUGGUCUGUGGAUUCUUGACUGUGGAUUCUGGCAGGGUCACCUUUGAGGUGGCCUCCUCCAUACAGCCCAUCUGUAAUCUGGAAGCUGCUCUAUCCUCACAUGCCAUCAAGAGGAGAGUGGGCAGAAGGUCAAGGUCUUGCUGGUGUAGGGACUCAGCAGAGCCUCUCUUUGGUUUUUGUAAAUUGUGCCCACAUAGUAGUUAAUCUCCACUCAGCUACCCAGCAUCAC